AUUUUAAUUUUGAAUCCUCCAAUCCUCUAAAUGUAAUUAUUGGCAGAGAGUCACGUCAUUAAAAAAAAUAUUUGUAGAUAUACUGCAUGCCUACCAUAGGCGAAAUGAGUAUUGGUUACACUACAAUUAGGGUGUGGAAAUGUUAUGUCCCUUAGAUAUUAAUUUAGAAUCCUCCAAUCCUCUUAUGCUGUAGCCUACUCCCGACCAUCGUGUUGUACAGUGCAAUAUUUUCCAUUCUUAACGGAAACCCUGAGGGUUUCGUUUUUCUGGGAAUAGAAACACCACAAUAUUAAUCAAAUAAAUGACAUUUUUAAUUUUAAUUAGAUUUUUAAAAUCAAUCCCAUGUACUAUGUUAUUACAAAAAAGGGUUUAAAUUCUCUAAUAAUGCCAAUAUGGGAGACUAUCAAAUGCUUCUCAAAGUUGCCCUCUGUUGCCCGCAAGUUGCACUAACUUGCAUUAACGUAAAAAAAAUGGCUGACAAUGAAUUAGCGUGCCAUAGAAUGCUGCAGCAGCCCGCAAGGUGUGCUGCAGUAUGAUGCAACUUUUAAAGGAGGAACCACAGUAGAUGAACGGAUGAUCUCCGCAUGUUAUUUCUCACUGUCAAGCAUGGAGGAGGAGAUGUGAUGGUGUGGGGGUGCUUUGCUGGUGACACCUUCAGUGAUUUAUUUAGAAUUCAAGGCACACAUUACCAGCAUCGCUACCACAGCAUUCUGCAGUGAUACGCCAUCAUAUCUGGUUUGCGCUUAGUGGGACUAUCAUUUGUUUUUCAACAGGACAAUAACCCAACACAGCCCCAGGCUAUGUAAGAGCUAUCUGACCAAGCACAGCAUUCUGCAGUGACACGCCAUCAUAUCUGGUUUGCGCUUAGUGGGACUAUCAUUUGUUUUUCAACAGGACAAUAACCCAACACACCCCCAGGCUAUGUAAGAGCUAUCUGACCAAGAAGGAUAAUGGAGUGCUGCAUCAGAUGACCUGACCGCCACAAUUACCGAUUACAACCCAAUUGCGAUGGUUUGGGAUUAGUUGGACCACAGAGUGAAGAAAAAGCAGCCAACAAGUGCUCAGCAUAUAUGGGAACUCCUUCAAGAUUGUUGGAAAAGCAUUCCAGGAGAAGCUGGUUGAGAGAAUGCCAAGAGCGUACAAAGCUGUCAUCAAGGCAAAGGGUGGCUAAUUUGAAGAAUCUCAAACAUAAAAUAUACAGGUAUUUUGAUUUUUUAAACACUUCUUUGGUUACUAUAUGAUCCAUGUGUUAUUUCAUAGUUGUGAUAUCUUCACUAUUACUCUACAAUGUAUAACAUAGUACAAAUAAAUAAAAACCCUUGAAUGAGAAGGUGUCCAAACUUUUGACUGGUACUGUAUGUAAAUUAGAUAUUUAAUUCUCAAUAAAUUAGCAACAUUUCUAAAAACAUGUUUUCUCUUCAUCAUUAUGGAGUAUUGUGUUUAGAUGGGUUUAGUAUUGUUGGGCACUCUCGAGUGGCGCAGCGGUCUAAGGCACUGCAUCUCAGUGCUAGAGGCGUCACUACAGAUUCUGGUUCGAUCCCGGGUUCUAUCACCACCGACCGUGAUCGUGAGACCCAUAGGGUGGCGCACAAUUUGCGCUGCGUUGUCCGGGUUAGGGGAAGGUUUGGCUGGGGUAGGCCAUCAUUGUAAAAUAAGAAUUUGUUCUUAACUGACUUGCAUAGUUAAAUACAUUUUGAAUUCACACUGUAACACAACUAAAUGUGGAAUAAGUCAAGGGGUAUGAAUACAUUCUGAAGGCACUGUAUGUACUGUACUGUGUUACACACAUCUUAAAAAGCCAGUAUUUUCAGUUGUUGAGUUAUUGAGCUACAACCAGGAUAUUACAUUUCCCUUCCUCAACCCACUACCCACGCAGGAUACCGGCAGCCCACCCACCCACCGCCUGCCUGCCUGUCUCUCAGCCCUGGCCCAGCUCCACUCAAACUUUCCACAGUUGGGCAAGGGCUCUGUGGCGGUCGGUGCGUUUAGCACGCAGCCUGCGUCAGCCACACCACAGCCUGGGGACCAGAGGCUGCCACAGGGGCGGAGCCAGGAGACAACAGCCUGACUCCAGAGGGCAGGCUAAGGCAUCAGCAUGGCGACGUCACACAUAUCUGAGGGGCCGACACGGGAGAAGGGCCGGUCUAACACACAGGCCCUGCUGCAUAGUGUGGUUACUGCAUCCAGGCUAUUUAUAUGUGUCUCUUCUUCAGAGAAGGAAGCUGGACCUAUUGAAUCCAGAUGUGAGAGGACAGACAGAAGGCACAAGACAGAACCAGAGCUGGAGGAGACAGACUGGGCCAGAGUGGCAGCCUACGGUGUCUGAACAAGGAACACAAAAAAACAGGACACAUUGUGCCGGCUCUGCGCUCCAGACCUCCAGUGAUGAUCCAUAGCCCGGAGCCUCCAGUGACGAUCCACGGUCCGGUUCCUCCGGCGACGAUUCAUGGUCCGGAGUCUCUAGCGAGGAUCCACGGUCCGGAGCUUCCGGCGAUGAUCCCCGCACCAGAGUCACCACCUGAGCUGGCGGAUUCGCAAGCGGAGCGGGGUCGACGUCCCGCACCGGAGCCGCCACCGAGGCUGGAUGCCCACCCGGACACUCCCCUAUAGUCAGAUUUUGUGGCCAGAGUCCGCACCUUUGGGGGGGGUACUGUCAUGCCCUGUCCUUAGAGAUCAUUUUAUUUCUCUAUUUGGUUAGGUCAGGGUGUGACAAGGGUGGACAUUCUAGUUUUUUGUUUCUAGGCAGAGGCAGCUGUCUAUUGUUGUCUCUGAUUGGGGAUCAUAUUUAGGCAUCCUUUUUCCACCUGUUGUGUGUGGGAUCUUGUUUUUGUAUUGUAGCCUUUUUGCACUACAAAGCUGCACGUUUGUUUUGUUACCCUUUAUUGUUUUGACCCUUUAUUGUUUUGUUGCUGGCUCACAUUAAUAAAACUGGAUGAACACCUUC
Oncorhynchus nerka (sockeye salmon) is the source of this 2944-nucleotide long non-coding RNA. RefSeq lists it as uncharacterized. Lineage: Eukaryota; Metazoa; Chordata; Actinopteri; Salmoniformes; Salmonidae. The transcript has 2 exons. The record is from RefSeq and is a predicted model, not a curated record.